GGGCGCUGACGAGUGGCGGACGGGUGAGUAACGCGUGGGGAUCUGCCUCGAAGUGGGGAAUAACCGCUGGAAACGGCGGCUAAUACCGCAUACGCCCUCAGGGGGAAAGCUUUAUGCGCUUCGAGAUGAACCCGCGUCGGAUUAGCUAGUUGGUGAGGUAAAGGCUCACCAAGGCGACGAUCCGUAGCUGGUCUGAGAGGAUGAUCAGCCACACUGGGACUGAGACACGGCCCAGACUCC
Molecule: ribosomal RNA, 240 nt
Filed under: uncultured bacterium
Lineage: Bacteria
Description: partial 16S ribosomal RNA
Rfam family: Bacterial small subunit ribosomal RNA
Source: RNAcentral